CCCGGAAGUCAUCACUGAAAUUACAACAAGAAAUAUGAAGUAAUUAGUAUUUUUUUUCCAUGGACAUAUGACCGCCGGCCAGUUGCCUUUGUGCUCAUGCCGGUGUUGUACCAAUGAAUUGACUCCAUCACUGUAGCGACCUGGAAGAACAUCAACUGUUUGUGGAGUUGGGAAUUUCUUCUCCGAGGAGAGAAAUGUUUAGUACGUCUCCAAAUCACUCCACUGUCCUGCCGGACAAAGAUGAGUUUAAUAUGGCCCGUCGACACAGAGAAGGCCUGCUGUCACAUACCGCUUAUUGGGCUGUAACAUUAGUCUCAUUCCAACACCACAUAUCCAACAAAGAAGCUUAUACCAAAGAGAAAGCUACAAAUUGGAUGAUUGAUCCCUAUGAAAUUGAUGUUACACAUAUUUUAUUUCAAAAAGGGGAUUACCCGGGCCUCUGCAUCAAAUGAUGCACACAUUCAUAUUAAAGGGCAGCCCCAGUGCAUGUAGCUCCCACUUGCGCAGGGUCUGAGGAAGGGUCCGACCACUUUGGGUCUAUUGUACGCAGCCUUUCCCUACAUUUCUGUAAGAGGCUGUUUCCAGGACUUGAACCCGUGACCUCAUGGUCACAAGGCAACAGCUUUACCACUGCGCCAAGGCUCCCCUUCAUGCACACAUUCAUAUUAUUAAACAUAAAUCAAGUUCCAAACACGGAGUUCCAGACUUAUUUCAUCAAGUAGUUUUCUUGUAUUUAAACUCAAUUCCUUCAAUUUCUCUGAGCCGUGAGCUUAUAUUAGCGGUGAGCUCAUCUACAUUCUGCGUUGUGAACUCAUUUAGUUUUAUCUAUGAACUCAUUAGGUGAACUCAUCACGGUUUUUUGGCAGAUGUGAACUUAUUUCAUAUUCAUCUAUGAAUCAUUGUUGAAGUGUCUGUAUAUCUCUCCCAUGCCAAUGUACAGAAAUUUGAGGUCUACAUACUUUUGCCACUUCUACCUACAAUUCCAUUGCUGUCUUUGUAUAAGCUAUAGCAAGUGCAACAAAACAGAUUGCAACAAGUAGCUUAUGAACUGAAAUUUGUGGUAUUAUUCAUUUGUUGUAUUGUCGCUCAGUUCAUCGUGGUUGUGAAGCUAAACGUGACAUGCUAUUCUUGACGUAAUUUCCAAAUUGCAAUCCAUAAUCAAGCAAAAGACUACAAUAAAUGUGACUUACAUGUUGCUUGCAUUCAACACCUUCAGGACCUGCACACGCAUCCAUCUCCUCCUCCGGCCGUUGCUGCCAUUAAGCCACUUGCUCAGGACCUGCACAAGGCAUCCACCUUCUCUUCAGCACCAGUCUCGCCACUAGAAUGCUUCUCCAGCAGGGGAGGGCGAUCUGCGCCGAUGCGCGCAGGGGAGGGCAAGCACCCGCGGAGAGCUGCGCUGUC
Molecule: long non-coding RNA, 1404 nt
Filed under: Triticum aestivum (bread wheat)
Lineage: Eukaryota; Viridiplantae; Streptophyta; Magnoliopsida; Poales; Poaceae
Description: long non-coding RNA (TAES_LNC005606)
Source: RNAcentral